AUUGAACGCUUGCGGCAGGCUUAACACAUGCAAGUCGAACGAGUGGCGGCCGGGUGAGUAAUGCUUGGGAAUCUAGCUUAUGGAGGGGGAUAACUACGGGAAACUGUAGCUAAUCCAGCAUACCAUCCGAUGAACCCAUAUGGGAUUAGCUUGUAGGUGAGGUAACGGCUCACCUAGUCGACGAUCCCUAGCUGGUCUGAGAGGAUGAUCAGCCAAACUGUGACUGAGAAACGGCCCCGAAUCCUACGGGAGGGAGCAGUGGGAAAGAUUGCACCAUGGGAGCAAGCCGGAGGCAGCCAUGCAGCGUGUAUGAAGAAGUCCUUCGGGUUGUAAAGUACUUUCAGUCGGGAUGCGUUACCGACAGAAGAAGCACCGGCUAACUCCGUGCCAGCAGCCGCGGUAAUAC
This 406-nucleotide ribosomal RNA is filed under the name uncultured bacterium. Its description in RNAcentral is "partial 16S ribosomal RNA". It matches the Rfam family "Bacterial small subunit ribosomal RNA", at positions 30 to 526 of the family's 1533-position model. The record is from RNAcentral.